UACGUAGGUGGCAAGCGUUAUCCGGAAUUACUGGGCGUAAAGCGCACGCAGGCGGCUCUUUAAGUUUGACGUGAAAGCUCCCGGCUUAACUGGGAGAGGUCGUUGAAUACUGAGGGGCUUGAGGAAAUGAGAGGGGUGUAGAAUUCCCGGUGUAGUGGUGGAAUGCGUAGAUAUCGGGGGGAAUACCAGUGGCGAAAGCGGCACCCUAGCAUUUUUCUGACGCUCAUGUACGAAAGCGUGGGGAUCAAACAGG
Molecule: ribosomal RNA, 253 nt
Filed under: uncultured bacterium
Lineage: Bacteria
Description: partial 16S ribosomal RNA
Rfam family: Bacterial small subunit ribosomal RNA
Source: RNAcentral